UUUUUAUUAUUGUAUACCUACGGCAUAUUUUAUGUUUUGUUCUUGGUUACAAAUGUCACAUAUUUUUGUCUUAAAGGAAUUUAAUAAACUCCAACCACUAUGACCGAAAUGAGUUUGGUUGUCUUUCUUUAAUUUGUGGGGAAUUAAAUGCAAAGUAUAUGGUUAUAAGUAAACGGUAACAUUCUGGUAUUUAUAACACAAAAACAGUAAUCCUAUGGUAACAAAAUGUAAUCCAUUAUACGGCAACAUACCCUAUAUUACGGUAGGGCACUGUAAAUAAAACAGUAAGUUACUAGCGUCAACUGCCGGUAAAUUGCAGUUAAUUCACAGUAAAAUUGGUUCAAGUUUACAGUAACAUACAGUAAUCCAUUAUACGGUAAUAUACUGUAUUCUACGGCAGUGUACCAUAAAUAACUGCAAAUUAUUAUUGGCAUCCGCUGCCAGUAUUUUACCAAGCUGUGUGAAUGAGAUUGCUGGUGUGAAACCUCCUCAUUUGUACAGCUUUAGCAGAAGUACAGAGGGGGUGGAGGGGGUAUCCGUUUCCAUUCACAAUAUAACACAGAGCCUACUUACUGUUCUGCACCGUGGAGAUACUGAACACAAAUAGGACAGGAAGGAGGCUUUAUCUAACCAUGUAGGAAAUAGAUCCUGAAUGAUUUAAUCCAACACAGUGAGAGUUCUGGUUAAUCGUUUAUAAACUCACACACGAAGGUUAAUAUGAAGGCUGCUUAGAAAAGGAAAACCGUUUUAGUAUUAAUGUUAUUAAUUUCUUGAAAAGACUGACAUUUAAAAAUAAGGCUUCCUUCACAAGAGAUCAGUAUGUGUCCUAGUUAAACAUAUAAUUCUACCUUUCAGUAUUACCAAAAUAAAACAUAUUUUAUGAUUGCGACUCACACAAGUCAUACCACAAACCCCACUGAUAUUUUACAGGUUUUGAAAGGUCUCAGUUGAUUAUUAUGCUCUGGACAGACUGUGCGCAUUUCAAACACCUUUUGUGUUAAAUCUUGACGAGUCCACCUCCAUAACACCUCUCUUUGCACAACUUUGCCACAUGUUCUGAUUGUGUCGUAGCAAAUCAUGCAUCCAUACACGCACUAAUAUCGACACAUGAGAAGAUGCCACCGUGAAUUCAUCAACUUUCAUUUUCUAUACGCUAAACUUCCUAUUAAUCUUUAAGCAUCUCUGCCCCAUCUACACAAGCUCGUGUUUACUUGUAGGUUGAACAAAAACAGAGUGCAUGCCGUCCAGAAUCAUGUUAUCAGUAUUCAUUACAUCGCGUCACGAGAAGAAAAUUCCUCCUCAGCCCCCUUCUGUCAUUUCCCUUGGGCUUUCUAAGAAUCCACUGAAGGUUAAUUUAUUUAAAUCCUCCAUUCACUCAUCUCUAUUCCAUUAAACUCUCCUAAUAAAUCUUUGGUUUGCCAUGUAAUCUGUUUCCUACUGUCAAAGCCCCAACCCUCAACUGUCUUUUACACAUAUGCUAGUGGAUGUGCGCUCACCGGUAAACAUGGCAGCCGAUAAGGUCACAUUAAAAUCAGUAGUAAUCAUGAUCUGUGUGUGUCUGCAGGGUGUGAGUUUGCGGAGGUCCACAUAUGUCUGCAAAGGCAUAUGUCCUUUGAAUGUGGCCAAAAAGCUUGGUUUAAUUAAUGUGAGUGCAGCUCGUGGUAGGGGGUCAUAAAAUCAAAUGGCCGAACCCUCUCAGCCCCCGAGGAAGCUCUAAAGUCCCGAAGCUCCUGUCUAAGCACGUUGUGAGAGUAUUUCCCAUCUGCCCUCUCUCCUUUUUUACAUACCAUAAUAAAGAACAUGGUCAUACCUCUCUGGCCAUGAUAGCGUUGAUUAUUCAGAGGAGCAAGGGGACCUUGGCUAUAUGGACAAGCUGUGCAUCAUAAUUACUGCAUGUCAUGUCAGCGCUACACAGAUGCCGUUAUAAUGGCUGUUAAAAGGCUCAGCUGUUGGUUUAAUAGCGGGUGAAGCCGUGUGCAGUCUGUUGAAGGGCUGGUCUCGCUGAAUUCAAUCUGGGUUCAAGAGGGUUUGUCGAUGAGAGGCUUGGAGGCAUAGACAAGUUUAAUAGACCUCGUGAGGUUAGACUGAUAGAGGUCCGGCAACGGUCAGUGUAACGUCAAAUAAUGGCAAUUAAUGACCUGACACACAAGUGAGCGUUGGGUAUGGCAAUGCUUCUUAAUUGAUGUAUGAUGAAAGACAAGAUAUGCAAAUUUGGGGACGCCUCAUCAUUUAGUCAUGAGCGGGUCACACUUGCCUUCUCACAUUUGAAAAAACUGCUGACUCAUCUCAGAGUCAUC
This is a long non-coding RNA of Gasterosteus aculeatus aculeatus (three-spined stickleback), 2297 nucleotides long. NCBI's taxonomy places the organism in Eukaryota, Metazoa, Chordata, Actinopteri, Perciformes, Gasterosteidae. The record is from Ensembl.